UGUGUCUUCCUGAUAUAACCAAACCACUAUAACCAACCGAGAACAAUCAACGUCGAAAAAGGCACCCGCAUCUCUACAACGGUGGAAGACUAGUAGACUUAAUAUUUAGGAGGAGAUUUGGGUUUCGAUCUCUUCUAAUUAGUUACAUACAUUUGAUGUAAUGACUAAUCUAAUUUGGAUUAGCACAUUUCAUGUCUAACCAACC
RNAcentral lists this long non-coding RNA (205 nucleotides) under Elaeis guineensis (African oil palm). Its description in RNAcentral is "long non-coding RNA (EGUI_LNC043190)". Lineage: Eukaryota; Viridiplantae; Streptophyta; Magnoliopsida; Arecales; Arecaceae. The record is from RNAcentral.